Hippocampus comes (tiger tail seahorse) is the source of this 323-nucleotide long non-coding RNA. RefSeq lists it as uncharacterized. The record is from RefSeq and is a predicted model, not a curated record. The transcript has 2 exons. NCBI's taxonomy places the organism in Eukaryota, Metazoa, Chordata, Actinopteri, Syngnathiformes, Syngnathidae.
UUUCUCUCAGCCUUGGCUGGAUUCGACUCAGCCGGUGCGCACAAUGUGCUUCGUCCUGUCAGACGCGUGGUUUGUGGACAAAAUAAAUAAAUCUAAAUAAAAGUCUGGAUAUCCUUUUUUUUUUUUGAAAUUAUUAUUAUUUUAUGAGGCACGUGGGAUGUAAGGCGCGUGGAUGCGACGCACCCCCACUGGAGCUGGAUAUCGACCUCGUUUUGGAUUCCUUUUCGGAGCUCGCUGCUUGCAAUCGGGAAGACACGUACGGAUGAUGGCUUUAUGAUGCGGAAGGUGGCGAUGGGCAAGUGACGUGCCGAGCUCGUGCCAAG